This 497-nucleotide ribosomal RNA is filed under the name uncultured bacterium. RNAcentral describes it as "partial 16S ribosomal RNA". It matches the Rfam family "Bacterial small subunit ribosomal RNA", at positions 28 to 507 of the family's 1533-position model. The record is from RNAcentral.
GACGAACGCUGGCGGCGUGCCUAAUACAUGCGAGUUGAGCGCUGAAGGUUGGUACUUGUACCAACUGGAUGAGCAGCGAACGGGUGAGUAACGCGUGGGGAAUCUGCCUUUGAGCGGGGGACAACAUUUGGAAACGAAUGCUAAUACCGCAUAAAAACUUUAAACACAAGUUUUAAGUUUGAAAGAUGCAAUUGCAUCACUCAAAGAUGAUCCCGCGUUGUAUUAGCUAGUUGGUGAGGUAAAGGCUCACCAAGGCGAUGAUACAUAGCCGACCUGAGAGGGUGAUCGGCCACAUUGGGACUGAGACACGGCCCAAACUCCUACGGGAGGCAGCAGUAGGGAAUCUUCGGCAAUCGACGAAAGUCUGACCGAGCAACGCCGCGUGAGUGAAGAAGGGUGUCGGAUCGUAAAACUCUGUUGGUAGAGAAGAACGUUGGUGAGAGUGGAAAGCUCAUCAAGUGACGGUAACUACCCAGAAAGGGACGGCUAACUACGUG